Podarcis lilfordi (Lilford's wall lizard) is the source of this 74-nucleotide non-coding RNA. Lineage: Eukaryota; Metazoa; Chordata; Lepidosauria; Squamata; Lacertidae. The record is from the annotation of a GenBank genome assembly.
GGAGCCUUGGCUUAGUGGUGGAAAACAUCUGCUUUGCAUACAGAGGGUCUUAGGUUCAAUCCCCAGCAUCUCCA